Molecule: unclassified non-coding RNA, 428 nt
Filed under: plant metagenome
Description: partial contains 5.8S ribosomal RNA, internal transcribed spacer 2, and large subunit ribosomal RNA
Rfam family: Bacterial small subunit ribosomal RNA
Source: RNAcentral
GGAAUCUUCCGCAAUGGACGAAAGUCUGACGGAGCAACGCCGCGUGAGUGAUGAAGGUUUUCGGAUCGUAAAGCUCUGUUGUUAGGGAAGAACAAGUACCGUUCGAAUAGGGCGGUACCUUGACGGUACCUAACCAGAAAGCCACGGCUAACUACGUGCCAGCAGCCGCGGUAAUACGUAGGUGGCAAGCGUUGUCCGGAAUUAUUGGGCGUAAAGGGCCCGCAGGCGGUUUCUUAAGUCUGAUGUGAAAGCCCCCGGCUCAACCGGGGAGGGUCAUUGGAAACUGGGAAACUUGAGUGCAGAAGAGGAGAGUGGAAUUCCACGUGUAGCGGUGAAAUGCGUAGAGAUGUGGAGGAACACCAGUGGCGAAGGCGACUCUCUGGUCUGUAACUGACGCUGAGGAGCGAAAGCGUGGGGAGCGAACAGGA